UACGUAGGGUGCGAGCGUUGUCCGGAAUUAUUGGGCGUAAAGAGCUCGUAGGCGGCUUGUCGCGUCGGAUGUGAAAGCCCGGGGCUUAACUCCGGGUCUGCAUUCGAUACGGGCAGGCUAGAGUUCGGUAGGGGAGAUCGGAAUUCCUGGUGUAGCGGUGAAAUGCGCAGAUAUCAGGAGGAACACCGGUGGCGAAGGCGGAUCUCUGGGCCGAUACUGACGCUGAGACGCGAAAGCGUGGGGAGCGAACAGG
Molecule: ribosomal RNA, 253 nt
Filed under: uncultured bacterium
Lineage: Bacteria
Description: partial 16S ribosomal RNA
Rfam family: Bacterial small subunit ribosomal RNA
Source: RNAcentral